ACCUCAAAUCAGGUAAGGAUACCCGCUGAACUUAAGCAUAUCAAUAAGCGGAGGAAAAGAAAAUAACAAUGAUUUCCCUAGUAACUGCGAGUGAAGAGGGAUAAGCUCAAAUUUUAAAUCUGUUAGGUUCACCUAGCCGAGUUGUAAUUUGAAGAAACGUUUUCUCGCUCAUGAUCAGCCCAAGUCCUAUUGAAUGAGGCAUCAUGGAGGGUGAUAAUCCCGUACGGUUGAUCAAUGGGUUUUACGAUACGUUUUCAAAGAGUCAAGUUGUUUGGGAUUGCAGCUUCAAAUGGGAGGUAAAUUUCUCCUAAGGCUAAAUAUUGGCGAGAGACCGAUAGCGAACAAGUACCGUGAGGGAAAGAUGAAAAGCAUUUUGAAAAGAAAGUCAAAUAGUACGUGAAAUUGUUGAAAGGGAAACGAUUGAAGUCAGUCGUACCGAUGGGUAUUCAGCUCCUUGAGCGCGAUUAUGCGGGCGUUGUGGAGUUUAACCCCUCGCGUUUGCAUAUUUGUGCACUUAGGGUGUACUUGCUCGUAUGGUAGGUUAACAUCAAUUUUGGUCGUCAUAAAAUGACGGGAGGAAAGUAGCUUCGAUCUCGCGUUGAAGUGUUACAGCCUCUGGUAGAUGUGAUGAUCGAGAUUGAGGAUUGCAACGAACCCUUCGGGGCUAUCCGCCUGGCCUCUGGUGGCCGCUCUGGUGUCGAAAGCUUGCUUACGGUCAUCAAAGUUGGACGUUAAAAGGCUAGAACGGGUUAAAUCCGUUAAGGAUGUUGACGUAAUGGCUUUAAGCGACCCGUCUUGAAACACGGACCAAGGAGUCUAACAUGUAUGCGAGUGUUA
This 837-nucleotide ribosomal RNA is filed under the name uncultured fungus. RNAcentral describes it as "eukaryotic LSU rRNA". It matches the Rfam family "Eukaryotic large subunit ribosomal RNA", at positions 1 to 695 of the family's 3401-position model. The record is from RNAcentral. Lineage: Eukaryota; Fungi.